GACGAACGCUGGCGGCGUGCCUAAUACAUGCAGGUCGAGCGAAGUUUUUCUGGUGCUUGCACUAGAAAAACUUAGCGGCGCACGGGUGAGUAACACGUAAAGAACCUGCCUCAUAGACUGGGACAACUAUUGGAAACGAUAGCUAAUACCGGAUAACAGUAUUUCUCGCAUGAGAGAUAUUUAAAAGUUGGUUAUGCUAACACUAUGAGAUGGCUUUGCGGUGCAUUAGCUAGUUGGUGGGGUAAAGGCCCACCAAGGCGACGAUGCAUAGCCGACCUGAGAGGGUGAUCGGCCACACUGGGACUGAGACACGGCCCAGACUCCUACGGGAGGCAGCAGUAGGGAAUCUUCCGCAAUGGGCGAAAGCCUGACGGAGCAACGCCGCGUGAGUGAAGAAGGAUUUCGGUUCGUAAAGCUCUGUUGUUAGGGAAGAAUGGAUAUGUAGUAACUAUACAUGUAAGAGACGGUACCUAACCAGAAAGCCACGGCUAACUACGUG
Molecule: ribosomal RNA, 499 nt
Filed under: uncultured bacterium
Lineage: Bacteria
Description: partial 16S ribosomal RNA
Rfam family: Bacterial small subunit ribosomal RNA
Source: RNAcentral